GUCCAUCCAAACUUGUUUGGGGAAGAUCUAGUGGCGAACGGGUGCAUAACACGUGAGAAACCUGCCUCAGUCUCUGGGAUAACAGUUGGAAACGACUGCUAAUACCGGAUGCCGUCACACCAUCACAUGUUGGAGUGACGAAAGAUUUAUCGGAUUGAGAGGGUCUCGCGGCCUAUCAGCUAGUUGGAGAGGUAACGGCUCACCAAGGCAUCGACGGGUAGCUGGUCUGAGAGGAUGAUCAGCCACACUGGGACUGAGACACGGCCCAGACUCCUACGGGAGGCAGCAGUGGGGAAUCUUGCACAAUGGGCGAAAGCCUGAUGCAGCAACGCCGCGUGCGGGAAGAAGGCCCUAGGG
This 357-nucleotide ribosomal RNA is filed under the name uncultured bacterium. RNAcentral describes it as "bacterial SSU rRNA". It matches the Rfam family "Bacterial small subunit ribosomal RNA", at positions 68 to 422 of the family's 1533-position model. The record is from RNAcentral.